This 300-nucleotide ribosomal RNA is filed under the name Caribbiopheromera trinitatis. RNAcentral's name for it is "partial 12S ribosomal RNA". The record is from RNAcentral. Lineage: Eukaryota; Metazoa; Arthropoda; Insecta; Phasmatodea; Diapheromeridae.
GAAGUUAAAUUUAUUUAUGAAUUUAUUAAUUAUGUUUUUAGGUGAAAUUUAAAUGUUAUGUAAUUUUAUCAUAUAUUCUUUUAAAGUUGAAUUUUAAACUAGGAUUAGAUACCCUAUUAUUUUAUCUGUAAAAUAUUCCCGGGGUAGUAGUAGAUAUUUUCUUGAAACCCAAAGGAUUUGGCGGUGUUUUAGUCUAUUUAGAGGAACCUGCCCCUUAAUCGAUAGUCCUCGUUUUAUCUUUCUUUAUAUUGAUUUCAGUAUGUAUACCUCCGUUAUAAGUUUAUCUUUUAGGUUAUUUAC